This 303-nucleotide ribosomal RNA is filed under the name uncultured bacterium. RNAcentral describes it as "partial 16S ribosomal RNA". It matches the Rfam family "Bacterial small subunit ribosomal RNA", at positions 507 to 808 of the family's 1533-position model. The record is from RNAcentral.
AGCAGUCGCCACGGUAAUACGUAGGUGGCAAGCGUUGUCCGGAAUUAUUGGGCGUAAAGCGCGCGCAGGCGGAUCAGUUAGUCUGUCUUAAAGGUUCGGGGCUUAACCCCGUGAGGGGAUGGAAACUGCUGAUCUAGAGUAUCGGAGAGGAAAGUGGAAUUCCUAGUGUAGCGGUGAAAUGCGUAGAUAUUAGGAAGAACACCAGUGGCGAAGGCGACUUUCUGGACGAAAACUGACGCUGAGGCGCGAAAGCCAGGGGAGCGAACGGGAUUAGAUACCCGCGUAGUCCCUGUCUCUUAUACC